GGGGCUGCAUUUGGUUUCGACGUGGGUUCGGAUCCGCUGUGGUGCAUGUCGAGCUCGGUGCGCUCGUAAAUCAGACCGAAACAAGCUAAUUGCCAACGCAAAAAGCACCGGGUUCUCCCGUGUUGCAGCAAACGACAGCCUCAUCGCUGUCGCUGCCUAAGCACUAAGAACCUUCCGUCUCCUCGGAGACGGUCUCGCACCAGUUUGUCUACGGAUUGGGUGCGGUUGAAGGCGCAAGCCUCCAGUCGUACAGCGGGGUAAUUCACGCAGGCUGGGCUUCCCCCGGGUACCUUGGGGUGCGGCCGAGAUCCAAGGGUGCUGGUGACGGGUGCAGCGUGCGACUGCGCGACAUCCGCCAUGAGACUCAAACCAGCUCGCUAAACAUGUAGAUCUGCGCGGUAAAGGCUUGCGGACGGGGGUUCGAAUCCCCCCAGCUCCACCA
Molecule: transfer-messenger RNA, 442 nt
Filed under: Xylophilus rhododendri
Lineage: Bacteria; Pseudomonadati; Pseudomonadota; Betaproteobacteria; Burkholderiales
Rfam family: transfer-messenger RNA
About the family: Bacterial tmRNA, also known as 10Sa RNA or SsrA, is named for its dual tRNA and mRNA-like properties. Its role is to liberate the mRNA from a stalled ribosome.
Source: Rfam by way of RNAcentral